Molecule: microRNA precursor, 85 nt
Organism: Aotus nancymaae (Ma's night monkey)
Lineage: Eukaryota; Metazoa; Chordata; Mammalia; Primates; Aotidae
Source: Ensembl
CUUAUGCAUGCAGUGAUUUGAGGAUUAUUGCUCAUGGUAAGACAAACAUGAGUAAUACAUUGUCUUCAAAGAACCUAUACUCUAA